GACGAACGCUGGCGGCGUGCUUAACACAUGCAAGUCGAACGGAAAGGCCCUGCUUUUGUGGGGUGCUCGAGUGGCGAACGGGUGAGUAACACGUGAGUAACCUGCCCUUGACUUUGGGAUAACUUCAGGAAACUGGGGCUAAUACCGGAUAGGAGCUCCUGCUGCAUGGUGGGGGUUGGAAAGUUUCGGCGGUUGGGGAUGGACUCGCGGCUUAUCAGCUUGUUGGUGGGGUAGUGGCUUACCAAGGCUUUGACGGGUAGCCGGCCUGAGAGGGUGACCGGCCACAUUGGGACUGAGAUACUGCCCAGACUCCUACGGGAGGCAGCAGUGGGGAAUAUUGCACAAUGGGCGGAAGCAUGAUGCAGCAACGCCGCGUGCGGGAUGACGGCCUUCGGGUUGUAAACCGCUUUCGCCUGUGACGAAGCGUGAGUGACGGUAAUGGGUAAAGAAGCACCGGCUAACUACGUG
RNAcentral lists this ribosomal RNA (468 nucleotides) under uncultured bacterium. Its description in RNAcentral is "partial 16S ribosomal RNA". It matches the Rfam family "Bacterial small subunit ribosomal RNA", at positions 28 to 507 of the family's 1533-position model. The record is from RNAcentral.